Molecule: ribosomal RNA, 253 nt
Filed under: uncultured bacterium
Lineage: Bacteria
Description: partial 16S ribosomal RNA
Rfam family: Bacterial small subunit ribosomal RNA
Source: RNAcentral
UACGUAGGUGGCAAGCGUUGUCCGGAAUUAUUGGGCGUAAAGCGCGCGCAGGCGGUCCCUUAAGUCUGAUGUGAAAGCCCACGGCUCAACCGUGGAGGGUCAUUGGAAACUGGGGGACUUGAGUGCAGAAGAGGAAAGUGGAAUUCCAUGUGUAGCGGUGAAAUUCGUAGAGAUGUGGAGGAACACCAGUGGCGAAGGCGACUUUCUGGUCUGUAACUGACGCUGAGGCGCGAAAGCGUGGGGAGCAAACAGG